CGCUGACAAAUUUAUUCAUGCGCAGUUCACAUGUAUCACCAUUUUGCCGAAAUGAGACUUUAGAAAGUGCAAUACCUCUACUAAAUAUGAAUUCUAGCUCUUAAUACUGAAGCAAGACAGAGGAUACUGCAGGAGGUCAAGAGAUGUAUAAUGGUAUUGGCCUGACUACCCCUCGGGGUAGCGGCACUAAUGGCUUCGUCCAGCGCAACUUGUCAUUUGUCCGCAAACACAAGGACCGGGUAGACUACAAGUCUGAGGAAGAGAUCCGGAAGCUGGACCAGUCGCUGCUGAAGCAGCCAAACCAGGACAUCCUGGAACAUGAGCGCAAGAGAAAAGUGGAACUGAAGUGUAUGGAGAUGCAUGAGCUCAUGGAGGAACAGGGGUAUUCAGCAGAGGAAAUUGAGGGGAAGGUGUCUGUGUUCCGGAAAAUGUUGAUGGAGAAGGAGGGUGUGUCCGAGGUCGCCGUAGACAAGGAUGAGUUUGGACGACCUGUAGCAAAGGAGACACAUCAACUGGCUGAGGCCAACCAUGAGAAGAAUGCCAAACUGCGAGAUGCCUUUGGUCUUGGGGACUAUGUGGAGGGGAGUGCCUUUGACCCUGCCCGCAAGGCAAAAGAGGAAGCUGCCAAAGCCCUUGCCAUGGCACAAAAGAAAUACUCGACUGUAGAAAGCUCUGAUUCCGAAGAAAGAUCUCCGUCCCCUCCUCCGAAAAAGAAGAAGAAGAAAUCUCGCAAAAAACAUAGAGAUGGAUGCAGAGAAGCCAGCAGCUCCCCUGAAAGAAGAGAAAAGAAAAAGAAAUCGAAAAAGCACAAACAUGAUCGCUCUGAAUCUAAGAAAAAUAAGAAAACCAAAAAGCGGCGAAAAAGGGUUGAAGAAAAGAAGAAGCGGAGGAGAAGGAAAGAGUCAUCCAGCUCCAAUUCCGGCUCAGAUUCUGACUCUGAAUCUGACUCAGGAAGUUCCUCCUCGGCAGCUUCUCCCGACAGGAAUGGAAAGACGAGGAAGUCUUCGCAUCACUUACCCUCCCCAUCCCUUGUGGACAGGGCCUGCCCCCCCGAGCACCGACUGUCACCUGCAUCCAGAUCAAAGAGAGGCGAUUCUGAAUCUGAAUUGGACAAAUCACCUCCCAGGUCAGCUAAACAAAAUGGGCAUGCUAACUCCAAGUCUGCUGAGAACAAAACCAGAAAUGGCAAGACAAGCCCAUCACCCAAAAGAAAUCGAAGCAAGUCUUUGAGCUACUCUCCUGCUGAUCGACGACGGGGAAAGUCGUCCCCAUACAAAACAAAAUCUGGCAAAGAAUUAUCAAGAGGUCGGUCUCCAAAGCACGGAGAGAAGAAAAGACAGUCCAGCCGAGGGGCUUCCCGGUCUACAUCCAGGUCACCUUCAAAGCAGAAGAAAAGGUCACCAGUGAAGAGGUCAAGGCGAAGUUCAAGGUCACCUACCCAUUCACGGUCACGGUCGAGAUCAAGAUCCUACUCCAGAUCCAGAAGUCGUUCCAGAAAGAGGGAAAGGAGCUACUCCCGUUCUCGAUCUCACAGUCGAAGACGGUCAUACAGUCGCAGCCUGAGCCAUGAUUCGAGGCGCAGGGAAUCACGCAGCCCCUCGAUUCGGAGAAGGAAAGGGUCACCAAGUCACUUAGAUAAACGCAGGAUAACAAGUGCAAGAAAACGACCAGUCCCCUAUUACAGACCCUCUCCCCCCUCACCAAGCUCUGACGACAGCUAUAGGUCAUACUCUAGGUCAAGGUCAAGGUCGCGUUUCCGGAGUCGUAGUCUGAGUUUAACAAAGCGCUACACUCGGCGGGGGCGGCGGCGGCGUAGCUGGAGCAGCAGUAGUCUUGAUAGUCUAAAACACUGAGAAAUAUCACAAGUUGUACACAUCGGCUUUCUUCUCACAUCCCAAACUUUCGUUCCAAAAUGUCAAAUGCCUACCUUAGCUCUGAAAGAAGGGUCUAGGCAUCUUUAUGAAUGAAUAAAGAACAAACAAGGUCCUGUAACAGCUAGAGGAAUGUCUGUCUGUGAUUCCUCCUUGCUCGGCCAUGCCCUCAGUGUAUAAGUGUAACUUGUGAUAUUUCUUGGCUGACCCAACUUUGUAUGGUGCAAUAAAUACCAGUGCCCAAGCAGCAGGGGUUCCUGUAGUGUGGACAUGCCCACAUGUUUGAAGGUGCCGAAUAUGUCUUGACACUGUACAUACCAUUUCUAGUACGCUGGAGUGCAAAGCAGUUUGACUGAAGACAAGCUAGCUUCUCCAGGAGGCAUGUUGGGUCGUCCAGUGGCAGUGCUGGAGGGAGGAGACUUGAUGACGAUUAUGUGAAUAGUUUAACAUAUCAGAUUUAAGUUAUUGUAUUGACUGGUCUUUCAUUUUACAUGUGUUUAUUUAUAUGCUAUUUAUUGCACAUGUUGUGGCUUUUGCAACAGUUGUUUUAUUUUCAGUUUUACAAAGAUGUUUGUUUUAUGACAACUGCGGUGGACCAAUUAGAGUGCUCUCCCCUUGAUUAGGGUCUGCUGGAAUUAAAUGAAAUGUAACAAAUAAUGUUUAGGUGUAGGGUAAGACUGUUAGUAUAAGUAGCAUACCAUGUUUUGUUUGCGGGUUUCCUAUCUGCCAGUGAAUCAAGGGGAAGUAACUCAUUGAUGACUGUAAACCUCUGUGUACGUGUGAUUAGUAUUCCCUACGAGAUGCUGCCAGUCAUCACAUAUCCAAAUAUAAACUUGACUUUUAUUGCUCAAGGUUUUCAUUUAACUUAUGUUUGAGUUAAGCCAAAGAAAAAGUUAGAAGUAACUGAAACUUUCAUUCCAAGGAUUGGCAUUCCCUUCAUCAUACAGAAAUGGUCAACAUUAGAAAGCCACCCCUCAUGGUGUCUGGCAGCGUCUUGACCAUGUUGUCAUGGUGACACAUUAAUGGCUACUGCCUCACUGCAGGCUGACUUAUGUAAAUAUGCAGAGACUGAAAUAAGUACUAAUGUCCAUCAACAUACUGACAUGUGGAACAGAGGCAGUCUGUGAUCAUUGUCCACAACAGCAGUAUUAAGGCAUUUGUACAUUGUAUGAGAGGAAAUCAUCUGUAUGUUGUCAAGUUUGUUUUAUGGAAACAUGGAACUGGCUCAUUUUAACCGUGAUAUACAUGAGAUUAUGAAGUGGGUUUAAAGAGCAUGAACUGUUAACUCUUUGCAACCUGUGUCUGAACAGUUGAAAAUCCUAUUGCCAUUUUGUUUUUCAAACAAGGACAAUGGUUAAUAUGUGAAUGAACUUGUUUUAGUGUAGAAUCAUGUAGGAAAUGUUUUAAAUGGAUAGAUUUAAUAAACAUGUUUGUGUGGGGCUUUGUAAGAUAUUGAUGACCUGAACUAUCCUGCCCUGAUGCUGGAGUUGAUAUUGCCAUGGCAAGCUUCCAUCUGUAUAGAAAUGUCCAAUCAAUACACAAACAUUAUUAUGUUGUGUAUUGUCACUUGUGCUGAAGCUCAUUUCCUGGCACCAUUGAUAUUAACUGCAGUAGGCCGCAAUGUUGUCAGCUAACAAGGCUGAUGGAUGUCAUUCGAUUAGCCACAAUGUCAGCUAACAAGGAUGAUGGUUGUCAUUCGGUUAGCCACAAUGUCUUUUCAUAGCAGCAAAGAAUUAACGCUUUAAGAAUUAGAGAAAGAUCUGGAGACUCGUGUGAAGGUUCAGAUGAUGAACACCGUGUACCAUGUGAAGGUUCAGGUGAUGUACACUGUGUACCGUGUGAAGGUUCAGGUGAUGUACACUGUGUACCGUGUG
Molecule: unclassified non-coding RNA, 3745 nt
Filed under: Haliotis rubra (blacklip abalone)
Lineage: Eukaryota; Metazoa; Mollusca; Gastropoda; Lepetellida; Haliotidae
Description: serine/arginine repetitive matrix protein 2-like, transcript variant X5
Source: RNAcentral